This 72-nucleotide transfer RNA is filed under the name Lasius niger. RNAcentral describes it as "tRNA-Asp". The record is from RNAcentral. Lineage: Eukaryota; Metazoa; Arthropoda; Insecta; Hymenoptera; Formicidae.
AAAGAAUUAGUUUAAUAUAAAAACAUUAAAUUGUCAAUUUAAAAAUAUUUUUCCUUUAAAAAAUAUUCUUUU